AACGAACGCUGGCGGCAUGCCUAACACAUGCAAGUCGAACGAGACCUCCGGGUCUAGUGGCGCACGGGUGCGUAACGCGUGGGAACCUGCCCUUAGGUUCGGAAUAACUCCCCGAAAGGGGUGCUAAUACCGGAUAAUGUCUUCGGACCAAAGAUUUAUCGCCUUUGGAUGGGCCCGCGUUGGAUUAGCUAGUUGGUGGGGUAAAAGCCUACCAAGGCGACGAUCCAUAGCUGGUCUGAGAGGAUGAUCAGCCACACUGGGACUGAGACACGGCCCAGACUCCUACGGGAGGCAGCAGUGGGGAAUAUUGGACAAUGGGCGAAAGCCUGAUCCAGCAAUGCCGCGUGAGUGAUGAAGGCCUUAGGGUUGUAAAGCUCUUUUACCCGGGAUGAUAAUGACAGUACCGGGAGAAUAAGCUCCGGCUAACUCCGUG
RNAcentral lists this ribosomal RNA (433 nucleotides) under uncultured bacterium. RNAcentral's name for it is "partial 16S ribosomal RNA". It matches the Rfam family "Bacterial small subunit ribosomal RNA", at positions 29 to 507 of the family's 1533-position model. The record is from RNAcentral.